UCUAUCUUGUAUUUCUAGUAUCUUUGGCUGAGGCUAGACAUUUGCUCGCCAGAGCAGUUCAGGAGGCGCGCGUUGACGGCUUUCUGUUGUACUACCACACGAGAAUUCUCCACACGAUACAUCUAGAGAAAGUCACAUUACUAGCCUAGGAAGGAGGCCUACAUUUUUUCGAUAUACUUAUCACUUCGAGGGACUUUGUUAGCCGCGAUGCAUUACAAUGAGAAAUGUGGAAGACAGCAAGCUACAACUAAGAAUGGAGGAGGAAGCCGAUUUGCAAUUAAGUACCCAAUCUAUGACUUUGUUGACACCUUUGGAUCUACUGUAGUGAUAAGUUUCUGUACUACUGAUGUGUGCAGCCAUACACAGAUGCGCCACCAUAUCUUUGUAGCAGCUACGAACGACAGGAUAAAACAAAGGAUAUUGCUCCUCACCGCACCCACUUUGCUGAAUAACUGUAACUUAUGAUAAACUUGGAUUCUUGAACCCUGUGAAUUUAUUAACUAGACUUAAAUUUUCUUCUUAUUUGAGCGACAGCA
RNAcentral lists this unclassified non-coding RNA (536 nucleotides) under Anneissia japonica. Its description in RNAcentral is "uncharacterized LOC117103484, transcript variant X1". The record is from RNAcentral. Lineage: Eukaryota; Metazoa; Echinodermata; Crinoidea; Comatulida; Comatulidae.